This 290-nucleotide ribosomal RNA is filed under the name uncultured stramenopile. RNAcentral's name for it is "partial 18S ribosomal RNA". It matches the Rfam family "Eukaryotic small subunit ribosomal RNA", at positions 1543 to 1831 of the family's 1831-position model. The record is from RNAcentral.
UGGGUAAUCUUUGAACGUGAAUCGUGAUGGGGAUAGAUGAUUGCAAUUAUUCAUCUUCAACGAGGAAUUCCUAGUAAACGCAAGUCAUCAGCUUGCAUUGAUUACGUCCCUGCCCUUUGUACACACCGCCCGUCGCACCUACCGAUUGAAUGGUCCGGUGAAAUCUUCGGAUCUGAGAGAUGUCUGAUUAAUUUCGGACGCCUUUUGGAAAAGUUGAUUAAACCUUACCAUUUAGAGGAAGGUGAAGUCGUAACAAGGUUUCCGUAGGUGAACCUGCGGAAGGAUCAUUA